UGCGGCGUAGAGCAACAGGCAGCUCGCCGGGCUCAUAACCCGGAGGUUGCGGGUUCGAAUCCCGUCGCCGCUACCA
This is a transfer RNA of 76 nucleotides. It matches the Rfam family "tRNA". From Rfam's summary of the family: Transfer RNA (tRNA) molecules are approximately 80 nucleotides in length.